Molecule: ribosomal RNA, 253 nt
Filed under: uncultured bacterium
Lineage: Bacteria
Description: partial 16S ribosomal RNA
Rfam family: Bacterial small subunit ribosomal RNA
Source: RNAcentral
UACGUAGGGUGCGAGCGUUGUCCGGAAUUAUUGGGCGUAAAGAGCUCGUAGGCGGCCUGUCGCGUCGGCUGUGAAAACCCGGGGCUCAACCCCGGGCCUGCGGUCGAUACGGGCAGGCUAGAGUUCGGUAGGGGAGACUGGAAUUCCUGGUGUAGCGGUGAAAUGCGCAGAUAUCAGGAGGAACACCGGUGGCGAAGGCGGGUCUCUGGGCCGAUACUGACGCUGAGGAGCGAAAGCGUGGGGAGCGAACAGG